UGUGCCACCAGACCUGAGUUAACCUGGAGAAGUCUGCAGUGAGGCACAUUGUUCUUCACCCAGGAAUGUUUGGAAGAAAAUCAAACACAAGCCCAGCCUUUCCAGUGUCUGUGAGCAUCUAGCUAAUUUCAGUCACAAAGGCACCUACCUGUCUCCGUUGUCCAGGUUCUGAAAAGCCUCAGCUCACGUUGUACCCACCGGCCUUCUUGGCCCUGAGAGCAGACGGUGUGAAUGACCUGCCUUGGUCCUCCCCCGCUGACAUGGGAACGUAGGCAGCUGUGAUCUCAGAACACACAGCACCGGCAGGCAUUUCACUGUAAGAGGAACCACCUCAGAAGAUAAAAACAACCUGUGAGUGAGCAACGCUUCUGGUCUACUGAGGACGUUUAAGAGGUUAGUCACAUUUUCUUCUUUUACUUAUACCAGUUAUGAUAAAACAUGAGAAUAUUACCUCGGUAAUCCACGCCAGAGUUUAAUUUCACCACAACUGGGCGCCCGAUGAUCUGCUUUAAGAAGUCACUAGGGGUUUGCUUCCGCAGACUCAUUUUUAACAAUCCUGAUCAGAAACAGGAAAGAGCAAUACAUACAGACUAAAGUUAAUUAUUCACCAAAAAGCAAAACAAAACUCUUGGGCCUUUAACAUAUCUAUAGGGAAUCAAGCAGCAAAGCUGUGCAAUGUUCUGCUAGACACCACAGCUGACCUGUGCUCACACCCAUCACCUCACACAGCCCUAGCCCAGGGCACAGCCUCAGAGCUGUUUACAGAGCAAUUAUUCCUAUCCACUUGUUCUAAUGUGUCACACACAUGACACCCUUAUAGCCACCAUCACCUCAGCCCAGUUAAUAAAUACUUUUCUAUGCUGACAACUCUAUUAACAUCUAUAAAUGCCACAUGUAAUCACCAGUAUAACUCUGGGAGAAGGUAUAACAUUCCCAUUUUACUGAUGAAAACAGAAUAGAAACAUUAGGGGUUGGGGAUUUGGCUCAGUGGUAGAGCGCUUGCCUAGCAAGCACAAGGUCCUGGGUUCGGUCCCCAGCUCCGGAAAAAAAAAAAAAAAAAAAAAAAAGACAGAA
Molecule: non-coding RNA, 1074 nt
Organism: Rattus norvegicus (Norway rat)
Lineage: Eukaryota; Metazoa; Chordata; Mammalia; Rodentia; Muridae
Source: RefSeq, a predicted model, not a curated record